Molecule: ribosomal RNA, 253 nt
Filed under: uncultured bacterium
Lineage: Bacteria
Description: partial 16S ribosomal RNA
Rfam family: Bacterial small subunit ribosomal RNA
Source: RNAcentral
UACAGGGGGUGCAAACGUUGCUCGGAAUUAUUGGGCGUAAAGCGCGCGUAGGCGGCCGCUUAAGUCGGAUGUGAAAGCCCCUGGCUCAACUGGGGAAGUGCACCCGAAACUGAGUGGCUUGAGUACUAAAGAGGGUCGCGGAAUUCCCGGUGUAGAGGUGAAAUUCGUAGAUAUCGGGAGGAACACCGGUGGCGAAGGCGGCGACCUGGGUAGAUACUGACGCUGAGACGCGAAAGCGUGGGGAGCAAACAGG